GAUGAACGCUGGCGGCAUGCCUAAUACAUGCAAGUCGAGCGAACAGACGAGGAGCUUGCUCCUCUGACGUUACCGGCGGACGGGUGAGUAACACGUGGAUAACCUACCUAUAAGACUGGGAUAACUUCGGGAAACCGGAGCUAACACCGGAUAACAUGUUGAACCGCAUGGUUCAACAGUGAAAGACGGUCUUGCUGUCACUUAUAGAUGGAUCCGCGCCGCAUUAGCUAGUUGGUAAGGUAACGGCUUACCAAGGCGACGAUGCGUAGCCGACCUGAGAGGUUGAUCGGCCACACUGGAACUGAGACACGGUCCAGACUCCUACGGGAGGCAGCAGUAGGGAAUCUUCGGCAAUGGGCGAAAGCCUGACGGAGCAACGCCGCGUGAGUGAAGAAGGUCUUCGGAUCGUAAAACUCUGUUAUUAGGGAAGAACAAAUGUGUAAGUAACUAUGCACGUCUUGACGGUACCUAAUCAGAAAGCCACGGCUAACUACGUG
RNAcentral lists this ribosomal RNA (497 nucleotides) under uncultured bacterium. RNAcentral describes it as "partial 16S ribosomal RNA". It matches the Rfam family "Bacterial small subunit ribosomal RNA", at positions 28 to 507 of the family's 1533-position model. The record is from RNAcentral.